Molecule: unclassified non-coding RNA, 714 nt
Filed under: Hevea brasiliensis (rubber tree)
Lineage: Eukaryota; Viridiplantae; Streptophyta; Magnoliopsida; Malpighiales; Euphorbiaceae
Source: RNAcentral
CUAUACCCACUUGAAAACUCAACAUCAUGUGGAGGUUCUUGUUUGUUAGAUCCCAUAUCCAUGUAUGAACAAUACCCAUUUGGAAUCCUAGUAGCAAAGUUUAUCUUUUCGGAUUUUGUCGCAGCUAAAGCAUGAUUAAACAUGAAAUUUGGGGGUGAAUCUAUACCAUUCUUUUGAUUGAUCUUCAAUUUCAAAAAAUUCUGAUCCAUCAUUGUUUUUAAAGCAUACCCAUCACCAGAAACAGCAGUAACCGCUUGUUGUUUCUCGGCGAUUUGUUGAUUAUUAGAUCUGAUUGCUGCAACAGUAGUACCAUUUUCCAUGGCGUCCAUGUUAUCAAAGAAGAACCAAGAUGAGAAAAACCUACCGGUAGGACAGGAAAGGGAUCUCUGUUUCUCAGCACGGUAGCGUUGCCGGAGUUUUUCCAUUUUGUGUCGGCACUGAGCUGAUGUUUUCGCCGGAGAAGCAUCUGGGCAGCGGCUGGUCACGGUAGCUGCCACCGCAUCCCAAUCCGCCGUCCGUAGGUACCCGCGGCGGAGCGCGUACCAUCGUUCACGGUAGGCUUCAAUAAGAGCUAAAGUCUCUUCUUGGGUCCAACACGGCGGUGGAAAUCUCCUCACCGGCGGCGGUGGCUUCUCCUCCGGGACGGCAUCUUCUGCUACUACGACGGUAGAAUCAACGUUAGACGACAUCCUUUAAUGGUGUGAGUGUGGUUUU